Molecule: unclassified non-coding RNA, 260 nt
Filed under: Hevea brasiliensis (rubber tree)
Lineage: Eukaryota; Viridiplantae; Streptophyta; Magnoliopsida; Malpighiales; Euphorbiaceae
Source: RNAcentral
AAGGUACGGGUUGUUUUCUGUUUUAGGGUCCAUCCCUGACCCAAUCAGAUACUGAAUUGUCUUCUCAAUCUGCUUCAUAUCCACUCUUCCAGAGAGGUAGAGAUACUUGUUGAGAAGGUCACCAUGCCUAUUCUCUUCUGCAGUCCAUGCCCUUGUCCAAAUUGCCCAAGAAGUAAGGCUUGCACCAGUCUCAUCUCGAACUCCAUCUAGGGUGUUAAGCAUUGUCUGGUAGGUUGGAAGGGCUUCUUCAGUGAUCAUAU